RNAcentral lists this long non-coding RNA (213 nucleotides) under Falco tinnunculus (common kestrel). Its description in RNAcentral is "lncRNA (ENSFTIG00000002254.1)". Lineage: Eukaryota; Metazoa; Chordata; Aves; Falconiformes; Falconidae. The record is from RNAcentral.
AGAGAGGUCCUGCCAGGGGGACCCCGGCCGGCCCGCAGCACCACCGCCGCCGCCAGCAGGAUUAGUGACUACCAUCAGCACUCCCACACUGAGUGUGACUACCCCAGCUCCAAAUACCAUUCUCCAGAUGCUAAAGUUCCCAUUUGUGUGCUUUUGAGGAGAAGGAAGGAAAAAGCAAAGCUUUUAAGGGGGAGCAGUGAGAGUGCCAGCUGA